Molecule: ribosomal RNA, 438 nt
Filed under: uncultured bacterium
Lineage: Bacteria
Description: bacterial SSU rRNA
Rfam family: Bacterial small subunit ribosomal RNA
Source: RNAcentral
UACGGAAGGCAGCAGUGGGGAAUAUUGCACAAUGGGCGCAAGCCUGAUGCAGCCAUGCCGCGUGUAUGAAAAAGGCCUUCGGGUUGUAAAGUACUUUCAGUCGUGAGGAAGGUGUUAAGGUUAAUAACCUUAGCAAUUGACGUUAGCGACAGAAGAAGCACCGGCUAACUCCGUGCCAGCAGCCGCGGUAAUACGGAGGGUGCGAGCGUUAAUCGGAAUUACUGGGCGUAAAGGGCACGCAGGCGGUUAAUUAAGUUGGAUGUGAAAUCCCCGGGCUUAACCUGGGAAUGGCAUUCAAGACUGGUUAGCUAGAGUCUUGUAGAGGGGGUAGAAUUCCAUGUGUAGCGGUGAAAUGCGUAGAGAUGUGGAGGAAUACCGGUGGCGAAGCGGCCCCUGGACAAAGACUGACGCUCAUGUGCGAAAGCGUGGGGAGCAAAC